GGGUGCGAUCAUAACAACACUAAUGCACCAGAUCCCAUCGGAACUCUGCAGCUUAGCGUGCUUGGGUGAGAGUAGUAUUAGGAUGGCUGACCUCCUGGGAAGUCCUCAUGUUGCACCUC
Molecule: ribosomal RNA, 119 nt
Filed under: Gossypium arboreum
Lineage: Eukaryota; Viridiplantae; Streptophyta; Magnoliopsida; Malvales; Malvaceae
Source: RNAcentral